RNAcentral lists this ribosomal RNA (253 nucleotides) under uncultured bacterium. RNAcentral describes it as "partial 16S ribosomal RNA". It matches the Rfam family "Bacterial small subunit ribosomal RNA", at positions 524 to 776 of the family's 1533-position model. The record is from RNAcentral.
UACGUAGGGGGCAAGCGUUGUCCGGAAUCAUUGGGCGUAAAGCGCGUGUAGGCGGCCAGGUAAGUCCGCUGUGAAAGUCCAGGGCUCAACCCUGGGAUGCCGGUGGAUACUGUCGGGCUCGAGUCCGGAAGAGGAGUGUGGAAUUCUCGGUGUAGAGGUGAAAUUCGUAGAUAUCGAGAGGAACACCGGCGGCGAAAGCGGCUACCUGGACGAGGACUGACGCUGAGAUGCGAAAGCGUGGGGAGCGAACAGG